AACAUAGAGCCAUUCGAUAAAGGAGGAGCCCAAAAAUGUUGCUCCCCAUGGCUCCUUCCCGUCGUUUACCACCCUUCUCCUCGGGAGGGCCUAGAGGUGGAGCAAAGCACCCAGUAGAGGAUGUCACGGCCAGCAGAAGGAGGCGGAGGUGGCUAGCGGGGGUGGAACGCGAUGUAGCUAGCAGAUAGAGGAGGGGCCGGAGGCAGGCCAGGCGACAACGGUGACUUCCACGUGCGCGACAGUGGCGCGGGCGCCCAGUCGGCCGGUGCAGGGAGCCAAGGGCGUAGAUGACGAGGGCACAACCGAGGGGGCUGAUGAGCACAGGGAGCUGCGGGUGGAGGUGAGGGGGCCAAUGGGUGUAGGGAAGUGGGGGCGGAGGGCGUCGGCAACCGGUGUGGGGUGGUGGGCGAUGUGCCCGACGAGGCGGUGGUCAAAGGACCAGUAUGGUGGGGAAGAGAACAAGCGGAUAAGGAAGAUUAGGGGGGAGGGUGAGAAGAAAAAAAUAGGGAUAGGAAAGAAAAAAAGAAAAAUGUAUUAAAAAUAAAAGGGAAUUAUAGCAACCUACUCAUUAUUGGUUAACCUAAUUUCUAUUCAUUAUUUGUUCAUUUCAUAUAACAAAUCACAUUAUAAUUUAGGGCAAAAAUAAACUCAUGUGUACAACCAAAUCACAUUGCUAAGGGCAUAUAGGACCUCUUACAUCCAUUCACAAAAAUACAGAAGGCUUUAGCUUCACUAGAGGAGCCACAACUGCAGCUGUUUU
RNAcentral lists this long non-coding RNA (760 nucleotides) under Setaria viridis. Its description in RNAcentral is "long non-coding RNA (SVIR_LNC003694)". The record is from RNAcentral. Lineage: Eukaryota; Viridiplantae; Streptophyta; Magnoliopsida; Poales; Poaceae.